This 88-nucleotide transfer RNA is filed under the name Dehalococcoidia bacterium. Its description in RNAcentral is "tRNA-Ser". It matches the Rfam family "tRNA". From Rfam's summary of the family: Transfer RNA (tRNA) molecules are approximately 80 nucleotides in length. Their secondary structure includes four short double-helical elements and three loops (D, anti-codon, and T loops). The record is from RNAcentral. Lineage: Bacteria; Bacillati; Chloroflexota; Dehalococcoidia.
UGGGAGAUGGCCGAGCGGACUAAGGCGGCAUUCUUGAAAAGUGUUUGGUGUAAAAGCCACGCGGGUUCGAAUCCUGCUCUCCCAGCCU